AGAGAGAGACAUGCGCGCAUAUCAAUAAGCGGAGGAAAAGAAACUAACAAGGAUUCCCUUAGUAACGGCGAGUGAAGCGGGAAGAGCUCAAAUUUGAAAUCUUCAAGGUUUUACCUUGACGAAUUGUAGUUUAAAGAAGUGUUUUCUGCUGAAGUUUUGGUAAAAGUUCUUUGGAAUAGGACAUCAUAGAGGGUGAGUAUCCCGUAUUUGACCAUUAUUUUCAGCUUUGUGGUACACUUUCAAAGAGUCGGAUUGUUUGGGAAUGCAGUCCAAAAUGGGUGGUAAAUUUCAUCUAAAGCUAAAUAUUGGCGAGAGACCGAUAGGCGAACAAGUACCGUGAGGGAAAGAUGAAAAGAACUUUGAAAAGAGAGUUAAACAGUACGUGAAAUUGUCAAAAGGGAAGCGUUUGACACCAGUGUUGUUUUCUCGAAAAUCAAUUAAAAAUGGCUCGAUUUUGUAUUGCUGAGACCUUAAAAGCUCACUGUACAUUUUUCGUGUCUUUUUUAAUGCACUUUUCGUUUAACAAGUCAACAUCAGUUUCUUUUGUUGUAAAAGGGUCAUUGGAAGGUGGCUUUCUUUUCGGAGAAAGUGUUUAUAGCCUUUGGCCUCUGCAAUCGGAGAGACUGAGGUCUGCAGCGUAGACUCUUCGGGGUUAGAUACAUUUGUGCUAAGUUAUAGCUUUUUAUAGACAACUUGUUGACUAUAAUUAGUCUUGUAGCUUACUCGCUUAUGCUAUUUUACCUACGCUUAGGAUGUUGAAGAUGUAGCACAUCAU
RNAcentral lists this ribosomal RNA (775 nucleotides) under uncultured Neocallimastigales. Its description in RNAcentral is "partial large subunit ribosomal RNA". It matches the Rfam family "Eukaryotic large subunit ribosomal RNA", at positions 23 to 634 of the family's 3401-position model. The record is from RNAcentral. Lineage: Eukaryota; Fungi; Neocallimastigomycota; Neocallimastigomycetes; Neocallimastigales.